AGGAUAAACGCUGGCGGCGUGCCUAACACAUGCAAGUCGAACGUCCUUGCGGUCUUCUUCUUCGGAGGAGGACCGCGAGGGAGUGGCGGACGGGUGAGUAACACAUGGGUACCUGCCUUUCAGUGAGGAAUACCGGCGAGAAAUCGCCGACAAGACCGCAUAGGCUUCCUUCGGUAGCCCGAGGGAAGCAAAGUUACUUCGCGAGAGGUGACGCUGGAAGAGGGGCCUGUGGCCGAUUAGCUAGUUGGGGGGGUAACGGGCCUCCCAAGGCGACGAUCGGUAGCUGGUCUGAGAGGACGAUCAGCCACACUGGGAUUGAGAACGGCCCAGACUCCUACGGGGGGCAGCAGUGAGGAAUUUUCGUCAAUGGGGGCAACCCUGAACGAGCAACGCCGCGUGCAGGAAGAAGGUUUCGGAUCGUAAACUGCUUUUCUCGGGGAAGAGAACGGACGGUACCCGAGGAAUCGAGCCCCGGCUAACUACGUGCCAGCAGCCGC
Molecule: ribosomal RNA, 497 nt
Filed under: uncultured bacterium
Lineage: Bacteria
Description: SSU rRNA
Rfam family: Bacterial small subunit ribosomal RNA
Source: RNAcentral